Molecule: ribosomal RNA, 718 nt
Filed under: uncultured bacterium
Lineage: Bacteria
Description: bacterial SSU rRNA
Rfam family: Bacterial small subunit ribosomal RNA
Source: RNAcentral
AACAGGAUUAGAUACCCUGGUAGUCCACGCUGUAAACGAUGAUUACUCGCUGUUGGCGAUACACAGUCAGUGGCUAAGCGAAAGUGACAAGUAAUCCACCUGGGGAGUACGACGGCAACGUUGAAACUCAAAGGAAUUGACGGGGGCCCGCACAAGCGGAGGAGCAUGUGGUUUAAUUCGAUGAUACGCGAGGAACCUUACCAGGGCUAGAACGCAAGUUGAUUAUGUGCGAAAGUAUAUAUCUCUUCGGAGCAAUUUGCGAGGUGCUGCAUGGUUGUCGUCAGCUCGUGCCGUGAGGUGUCAGGUUAAGUCCUAUAACGAGCGCAACCCCUACUCUUAGUUGCCAGCAUGUCAUGAUGGGGACUCUAAGAGAACUGCCUACGCAAGUAGAGAGGAAGGUGGGGAUGACGUCAAAUCAGCACGGCCCUUAUGUCCUGGGCUACACACGUGCUACAAUGGUCGGUACAGAGGGCAGCUACCUGGCGACAGGAUGCUAAUCUCAAAAGCCGAUCUCAGUUCGGAUCGGAGUCUGCAACUCGACUCCGUGAAGUUGGAUUCGCUAGUAAUCGCGCAUCAGCCAUGGCGCGGUGAAUACGUUCCCGGGCCUUGUACACACCGCCCGUCAAGCCAUGGAAGCUGGGGGUACCUAAAGUCCGUAACCGCAAGGAGCGGCCUAGGGUAAAACUAGUGACUGGGGCUAAGUCGUAACAAGGUAACC